ACGUAGGGAGCGAGCGUUGUCCGGAUUCAUUGGGCGUAAAGCGCGCGUAGGCGGUUUGGUAAGUCGGAUGUGAAAUCCCGAGGCUCAACCUCGGGACUGCAUCCGAUACUGCCCGACUAGAGGUAGGUAGGGGAGAUCGGAAUUCCUGGUGUAGCGGUGAAAUGCGCAGAUAUCAGGAGGAACACCGGUGGCGAAGGCGGGUUGCUGGGCCGACACUGACGCUGAGGCGCGAAAGCCAGGGGGGCAAACGGGA
This 253-nucleotide ribosomal RNA is filed under the name uncultured prokaryote. RNAcentral's name for it is "partial 16S ribosomal RNA". It matches the Rfam family "Bacterial small subunit ribosomal RNA", at positions 525 to 777 of the family's 1533-position model. The record is from RNAcentral.